RNAcentral lists this unclassified non-coding RNA (794 nucleotides) under Leishmania donovani. Its description in RNAcentral is "gene:LdHU3.25.0070(CDS-product:Got1/Sft2-like_fam ily_putative)". The record is from RNAcentral. Lineage: Eukaryota; Euglenozoa; Kinetoplastea; Trypanosomatida; Trypanosomatidae.
CCCUCCCACUUUCAGGCUGCAUUGCUUCUGUCCUCCUCCGGUUGCGUCGUUCACUCCUUUCUCGCGCGUUUUUUUUCUUUGCGUGUACCGCUAUCCCACAUUCCCACACUAGGGAAAGGCUGCGAGAAACAGAACAACUCCCCACAGGUCGAAACCGAAAGAAAAGUGAUGUCUGCUGUGGAAAUCAACGAGGCAGCGACUGCGCCGUUAAAUGACAAUGACCAGUUUUUCAAGGAUCUCACCUGGACGCAGCGAAUUCAAGGCUUCUGCGUCCUCAUGUCGCUAGCGCUCUUUUCGACGCUGAUGAGCUGGUUUGCUCUCGGUAUGGGGUCCUACUGGAAGUACAGCAUGCUAUCCUCCCUUGGUAGCUUUCUCUCUAUGCUGAGCACCGUCAUCCUCAUGGGUCCCUCAGCGCAGCUUGCGUACAUGUUCGACGAGUACCGCUUCAAUGCCACGGUGCUCUACAUCGGCUCUAUGUUUUUCGCUUUCUUUGUAGCUGUCAUCUUCAAGUCAGUCUUGCUGUGCUUCCUGUGCGGUGUCCUGCAGUACUCCGCCUUGGUGUGGUAUUCCCUGUCGUACGUCCCCUACGGCCGCGAGACACUUGUGAACAUCGUUCUGCGCCGUUAAGGCGACGGGUGUCACGCUAGGGUCGGGGGUGUGGGGACGGAACGAGAUCGUACCUCUUGGUCUAGCGCACAUCACCGUCGGUGUUUCCUCUAGAUUCAGGAAAAAAAAUUCACUUGCUUUGUGCUUCUUGGUGCGUCCCGACAUCGGAGCAGUUGUGUCACGUACAG